Molecule: ribosomal RNA, 495 nt
Filed under: uncultured bacterium
Lineage: Bacteria
Description: partial 16S ribosomal RNA
Rfam family: Bacterial small subunit ribosomal RNA
Source: RNAcentral
GACGAACGCUGGCGGCGUGCCUAAUACAUGCAAGUAGAACGCUGAAGGAGGAGCUUGCUUCUCUGGAUGAGUUGCGAACGGGUGAGUAACGCGUAGGUAACCUGCCUGGUAGCGGGGGAUAACUAUUGGAAACGAUAGCUAAUACCGCAUAAGAGUAGAUGUUGCAUGACAUUUGCUUAAAAGGUGCAAUUGCAUCACUACCAGAUGGACCUGCGUUGUAUUAGCUAGUUGGUGGGGUAACGGCUCACCAAGGCGACGAUACAUAGCCGACCUGAGAGGGUGAUCGGCCACACUGGGACUGAGACACGGCCCAGACUCCUACGGGAGGCAGCAGUAGGGAAUCUUCGGCAAUGGACGGAAGUCUGACCGAGCAACGCCGCGUGGGUGAAGAAGGUUUUCGGAUCGUAAAGCUCUGUUGUAAGAGAAGAACGAGUGUGAGAGUGGAAAGUUCACACUGUGACGGUAGCUUACCAGAAAGGGACGGCUAACUACGUG